RNAcentral lists this transfer RNA (72 nucleotides) under Camelus bactrianus (Bactrian camel). It matches the Rfam family "tRNA". From Rfam's summary of the family: Transfer RNA (tRNA) molecules are approximately 80 nucleotides in length. Their secondary structure includes four short double-helical elements and three loops (D, anti-codon, and T loops). The record is from Rfam by way of RNAcentral. RNAcentral also lists the same sequence under 2 other names. Lineage: Eukaryota; Metazoa; Chordata; Mammalia; Artiodactyla; Camelidae.
AAGGGUAUAGCUCAGUGGCAAAGUGCAUGCCUAGCAUGCAUGAGGUCCUGGGUUCAGUCCCCAGUACCUCCA